This 614-nucleotide ribosomal RNA is filed under the name uncultured bacterium. RNAcentral's name for it is "bacterial SSU rRNA". The stretch from base 1 to 520 matches the Rfam family "Bacterial small subunit ribosomal RNA", at positions 338 to 873 of the family's 1533-position model. The record is from RNAcentral.
CCUACGGGAGGCAGCAGUGGGGAAUAUUGGACAAUGGGCGCAAGCCUGAUCCAGCCAUGCCGCGUGAGUGAUGAAGGCCUUAGGGUUGUAAAGCUCUUUUGCCAGGGAAGAUAAUGACUGUACCUGGAGAAUAAGCCCCGGCUAACUUCGUGCCAGCAGCCGCGGUAAUACGAAGGGGGCUAGCGUUGUUCGGAAUCACUGGGCGUAAAGCGCACGUAGGCGGACUUUUAAGUCAGGGGUGAAAGCCUGAGGCUCAACCUCAGAACUGCCCUUGAUACUGGGAGUCUUGAGUAUGGUAGAGGUUGGUGGAACAGCAAGUGUAGAGGUGAAAUUCGUAGAUAUUUGCUAGAACACCAGUGGCGAAGGCGGCCAACUGGACCAUAACUGACGCUGAGGUGCGAAAGCGUGGGGAGCAAACAGGAUUAGAUACCCUGGUAGUCCACGCCGUAAACGAUGGAUGNUAGCGUACGCACGCUGUCGUGGUAGGUGGCGCGACGUAACCGUUAACGUACACUCCGUCCGUCGGGUAGGUACGGUCGCGAGAAGUUAAACGUUAAAGGUAAGUUAGUACGGUUCGUUGUAGACGUUGCCGACGGCGACGACGAGGGAGGAGG